GGUGAGAUGGCCGAGUGGUUAUGGCGCCGUGUUCAGGUAAUCCGAUUAUAUCGUGAGCUAUCAAGAACAAAUUCGCGGUGGAGCAAUCCGCGUGGGUUCGAGUCCCACUCUCAUCA
Hypoxylon argillaceum is the source of this 116-nucleotide non-coding RNA. The record is from the annotation of a GenBank genome assembly. NCBI's taxonomy places the organism in Eukaryota, Fungi, Ascomycota, Sordariomycetes, Xylariales, Hypoxylaceae.